This 86-nucleotide transfer RNA is filed under the name Felis catus (domestic cat). It matches the Rfam family "tRNA". From Rfam's summary of the family: Transfer RNA (tRNA) molecules are approximately 80 nucleotides in length. The record is from Rfam by way of RNAcentral. Lineage: Eukaryota; Metazoa; Chordata; Mammalia; Carnivora; Felidae.
GCCUGGGUGGCUCAGUCAGUUGAGCAUCUGACUUUGGCUUAGGUCAUGAUCUUGCAAUUUCAUGGGUUCAAGCCCUGUGUCAGGCU